RNAcentral lists this ribosomal RNA (448 nucleotides) under uncultured bacterium. RNAcentral describes it as "bacterial SSU rRNA". It matches the Rfam family "Bacterial small subunit ribosomal RNA", at positions 328 to 793 of the family's 1533-position model. The record is from RNAcentral.
UGGCCAGACUCCUACGGGAGGCAGCAGUGGGGAAUAUUGCACAAUGGGGGAAACCCUGAUGCAGCAACGCCGCGUGAGUGAAGAAGUAUUUCGGUAUGUAAAGCUCUAUCAGCAGGGAAGAAAAUGACGGUACCUGACUAAGAAGCCCCGGCUAACUACGUGCCAGCAGCCGCGGUAAUACGUAGGGGGCAAGCGUUACCCGGAUUUAUUGGGUUUAAAGGGUGCGCAGGCGGGCUGUUAAGUCAGCCGUAAAAUCCUGGGGCUCAACCCCCGCACCGCCGUUGAAACUGGCAGUCUCGAGUUGGAGAGAAGUAUGCGGAAUGCGCGGUGUAGCGGUGAAAUGCAUAGAUAUCGCGCAGAACUCCGAUUGCGAAGGCAGCAUGCCGGCUCCACACUGACGCUGAGGCACGAAAGCGUGGGUAUCGAACAGGAUUAGAUACCCCCGUAG